UAUCACUGGUAGUCCGCUAAACUGUCAUCUCAAACAAAAACAAAUGGACCAUAUAACUGACUAUGAUGUGAAAACAUCUGGCUUAUCUAUAGCCAUCAAUAGAAACUAGCCGGAAGAUGAUUUCCCCCAUUACCAGUCGCCAAACAACAAGAACAACAGUGCAGAUUUUCACCGUUGUCACAGGAGCCAACAACAUCUGCAAUUCCAAUCAGCAGUAUCCUCCAAACCCAUGCCGGGGACAGCAAGAACAGCGGCAACAGCAGAAUCGAAUCCUCGGGCACAAAUGUGUAUCAAGGAAAUAAAAACUAUCAACGCAGGAGGUAUUUAUCAACGAGCUCAGCUGGACUCGAAUCGUCAAUCCGGAAACCCCGGAUUUAAAAAUUUCGCUGUAUUGUGGUUAUUUGUAUAUCACAAACACAUAUUGUUUUGUAAUACGUAUUUUUUCGAGUAAUAAAAUGACUAAAAUUGA
Long non-coding RNA from Toxorhynchites rutilus septentrionalis, 469 nucleotides. RefSeq lists it as uncharacterized. The transcript has 2 exons. Lineage: Eukaryota; Metazoa; Arthropoda; Insecta; Diptera; Culicidae. The record is from RefSeq and is a predicted model, not a curated record.